RNAcentral lists this ribosomal RNA (234 nucleotides) under uncultured bacterium. RNAcentral's name for it is "partial 16S ribosomal RNA". It matches the Rfam family "Bacterial small subunit ribosomal RNA", at positions 794 to 1024 of the family's 1533-position model. The record is from RNAcentral.
UCCACGCCGUAAACGAUGGGCACUAGGUGUAGGAAGUGUUGACCCUUUCUGUGCCGAAGCUAACGCAUUAAGUGCCCCGCCUGGGGAGUACGGUCGCAAGGCUAAAACUCAAAGGAAUUGACGGGGGCCCGCACAAGCGGUGGAGCAUGUGGUUUAAUUCGACGAUACGCGAAAAACCUUACCUGGGCUUGACAUGCUGGGAUUAAUCCUGAGAAAUCAGGAGGAUUAUCCUUU